AGAGUUUGAUCCUGGCUCAGGACGAACGCUGGCGGCACGCUUAACACAUGCAAGUCGAACGAGAGAAGAGGAGCUUGCUUUUCUGAUCUAGUGGCGGACGGGUGAGUAACACGUGAGCAAUCUGCCUUUCAGAGGGGGAUACCGAUUGGAAACGAUCGUUAAUACCGCAUAACAUAAUUGAACCGCAUGAUUUGAUUAUCAAAGAUUUAUCGCUGAAAGAUGAGCUCGCGUCUGAUUAGCUAGUUGGUAAGGUAACGGCUUACCAAGGCGACGAUCAGUAGCCGGACUGAGAGGUUGAUCGGCCACAUUGGGACUGAGACACGGCCCAGACUCCUACGGGAGGCAGCAGUGGGGAAUAUUGCACAAUGGAGGAAACUCUGAUGCAGCGAUGCCGCGUGAGGGAAGAAGGUUUUAGGAUUGUAAACCUCUGUCUUCAGGGACGAAAAAAGACGGUACCUGAGGAGGAAGCUCCGGCUAACUACGUGCCAGCAGCCGCGGUAAUACGUAGGGAGCGAGCGUUGUCCGGAAUUACUGGGUGUAAAGGGAGCGUAGGCGGGAUCGCAAGUCAGAUGUGAAAACUAUGGGCUUAACCCAUAAACUGCAUUUGAAACUGUGGUUCUUGAGUGAAGUAGAGGUAAGCGGAAUUCCUAGUGUAGCGGUGAAAUGCGUAGAUAUUAGGAGGAACAUCAGUGGCGAAGGCGGCUUACUGGGCUUUAACUGACGCUGAGGCUCGAAAGCGUGGGGAGCAAACAGGAUUAGAUACCCUGGUAGUCCACGCCGUAAACGAUGAUUACUAGGUGUGGGGGGACUGACCCCUUCCGUGCCGCAGCAAACGCAAUAAGUAAUCCACCUGGGGUGUACGACCGCAAGGUUGAAACUCAAAGGAAUUGACGGGGGCCCGCACAAGCAGUGGAGUAUGUGGAUUAAUUCGAAGCAACGCGAAGAACCUUACCAGGUCUUGACAUCGUAUGCAUAGCUCAGAGAUGAGUGAAAUCUCUUCGGAGACAUAUAGACAGGUGGUGCAUGGUUGUCGUCAGCUCGUGUCGUGAGAUGUUGGGUUAAGUCCCGCAACGAGCGCAACCCUUACUGUUAGUUGCUACGCAAGAGCACUCUAGCAGGACUGCCGUUGACAAAACGGAGGAAGGUGGGGAUGACGUCAAAUCAUCAUGCCCCUUAUGACCUGGGCCUCACACGUACUACAAUGGCUGUCAACAGAGGGAAGCAAAGCCGCGAGGUGGAGCGAACCCCUAAAAGCAGUCUUAGUUCGGAUUGUAGGCUGCAACCCGCCUACAUGAAGUCGGAAUUGCUAGUAAUCGCAGAUCAGCAUGCUGCGGUGAAUACGUUCCCGGGCCUUGUACACACCGCCCGUCACGCCAUGGGAGUCGGUAACACCCGAAGCCUGUAG
Molecule: ribosomal RNA, 1405 nt
Filed under: metagenome
Description: bacterial SSU rRNA
Rfam family: Bacterial small subunit ribosomal RNA
Source: RNAcentral